Long non-coding RNA from Zingiber officinale, 188 nucleotides. RefSeq lists it as uncharacterized. The record is from RefSeq and is a predicted model, not a curated record. Lineage: Eukaryota; Viridiplantae; Streptophyta; Magnoliopsida; Zingiberales; Zingiberaceae. The transcript has 2 exons.
GGUUUGUGGACAAAGAAGCAGUCGCAGUUACCAGUGUGUCUCGGAAGGCAACUUUCUACAAUAGACCAAGCUCUACGGACUUCAUAAAUGUCCAUGACAUUUUUCUUGAAUGUGAUCAUGAUUCAAUCAUAUACCUUGGGAAGUCUGUUGAACCAACAAUAUAUGAUCUUUUGGGUGAUCAAGAGGUU